CGGGGUUGCGGACAGUGUCUGGUGGGUAGUUUGACUGGGGCGGUCUCCUCCCAAAGAGUAACGGAGGAGCACGAAGGUUAGCUAAUCCUGGUCGGACAUCAGGAGGUUAGUGCAAUGGCAUAAGCUAGCUUGACUGCGAGCGUGACGGCGCGAGCAGGUGCGAAAGCAGGUCAUAGUGAUCCGGUGGUUCUGAAUGGAAGGGCCAUCGCUCAACGGAUAAAAGGUACUCCGGGGAUAACAGGCUGAUACCGCCCAAGAGUUCAUAUCGACGGCGGUGUUUGGCACCUCGAUGUCGGCUCAUCACAUCCUGGGGCUGAAGUAGGUCCCAAGGGUAUGGCUGUUCGCCAUUUAAAGUGGUACGCGAGCUGGGUUUAGAACGUCGUGAGACAGUUCGGUCCCUAUCUGCCGUGGGCGCUGGAGAAUUGAGGGGGGCUGCUCCUAGUACGAGAGGACCGGAGUGGACGCAUCACUGGUGUUCGGGUUGUCAUGCCAAUGGCAUUGCCCGGUAGCUAAAUGCGGAAGAGAUAAGUGCUGAAAGCAUCUAAGCACGAAACUUGCCCCGAGAUGAGUUCUCCCUGAGACUUUAAGUCUCCUGAAGGAACGUUAAAGACGAUGACGUUGAUAGGUCGGGUGUGUAAGCGUAGCGAUACGUUGAGCUAACCGAUACUAAUGAACCGUGAGGCUUAACCUUACAACGCCGAAGGUGUUU
Molecule: ribosomal RNA, 709 nt
Filed under: Klebsiella aerogenes
Lineage: Bacteria; Pseudomonadati; Pseudomonadota; Gammaproteobacteria; Enterobacterales; Enterobacteriaceae
Description: partial 23S ribosomal RNA
Rfam family: Bacterial large subunit ribosomal RNA
Source: RNAcentral